UAAUACGGAGGGGGCAAGCGUUGUUCGGAAUUACUGGGCGUAAAGGGCGCGCAGGCUGUUUCGUUAGUCAGGCGUGAAAUCUCCGGGCUCAACCCGGGAACUGCGUUUGGUACUGCGGAACUAGAGAUCGGGAGAGGGUAGUGGAAUUCCCAGUGUAGAGGUGAAAUUCGUAGAUAUUGGGAAGAACACCAGUGGCGAAGGCGGCUACCUGGACCGAUACUGACGCUGAGGCGCGAAAGCGUGGGGAGCAAACAGGAUUAGAUACCCUGGUAGUCCACGCCGUAAACGAUGUGUGCUAGACGUCGGGGGUUACGCCUUCGGUGUCGCAGCUAACGCAUUAAGCACACCGCCUGGGGAGUACGGCCGCAAGGUUA
This 374-nucleotide ribosomal RNA is filed under the name uncultured Alphaproteobacteria bacterium. RNAcentral describes it as "bacterial SSU rRNA". It matches the Rfam family "Bacterial small subunit ribosomal RNA", at positions 521 to 896 of the family's 1533-position model. The record is from RNAcentral. Lineage: Bacteria; Pseudomonadati; Pseudomonadota; Alphaproteobacteria.